Carassius auratus (goldfish) is the source of this 1040-nucleotide long non-coding RNA. RefSeq lists it as uncharacterized. The record is from RefSeq and is a predicted model, not a curated record. The transcript has 4 exons. Lineage: Eukaryota; Metazoa; Chordata; Actinopteri; Cypriniformes; Cyprinidae.
AAUAUUAAUACUACCAUAAUAAAUGAUAUUGCUACUAUAAGAAUUUAUAUUAUAAUAAUGGUAGCCUAAUUAAAAAUCAUGAUAUAGAUUUUAAAAAAACAAUAAAGUAAAUUCUUAUCUUGUUUUGAUGUUAUCUUUUUGACUUGGCUUCCAGAUGCCCCUAGUGUUCAUAUGAAGUCUGAUUCUGUGUAUGUGAACUUGGGAGACACACUGACUUAUGCCAACCCCAUCACCUACAGUAUGUUUUUCUGGACGUGGAUGGGAUGAUCUGGGAGAGCAGAGUGAAGAUGAAGGCACUGGUUUGUUAAAGGACCACCCCUGAUCUGAAGCUGCUCCGUGUCGACCAUAACUCGGUUACUCUGGAAAGGAUGCCCGGAUUUGAUGGUGGUUUGACACAAAACUUCCGUGUCAGGUACCAGUGGGCGGGAUCAGUGAGAUUCAUGCAUGUGGACGUGUUUCCUCCGACAGCCACUGUGUAUACCGUCAUGGGCCUUGACCCUUCCACUACCUCCAACUUUUUUCAGUCAACACUAUCAAAACGAUGUGAGAGAGCAGCUAUACAGACAACAACAAAAUACUGACAGUCACUACUGCUGGUACAUUCAGCUCAGCCUGGGCCUGUAUAAUAAAGCUUACGACACAUAAACUAAAUUAUUCGUCAUUCGGUUUCCGACCAUGGUGGUUUACUUGUAGAUUUAGACACCGGCUUUACUUUCCACUGAUUUGAUGAGCCAUUCAUCAAUCCCACCAAUCACAUCUCAUUUGUAAGGCAAAGAUCACGGCUGAGCCUCAUGCAAAUAAGCCGAAUGGCUGAAUGUCUACACCAAUCAGUGCACCAGUGUGUUUUCUGAAUGCGUAUUUCAGUCUGCAUCUUAUCGGGAUUGCGAGCUAGAGGGAGAAAAAUCGAGCGAUAGAGGGAGAGAGACAGAAAACAAAACCGUGUGAUGUAUGAUAAAUGAUGAUAAGCUACAUUCCCUCUGCAAACAUAAUGAAUUCUGCAAUUGUAAUGUCAUAGCAUUUGAUUUGCAAAACAAAUUAGU